This 1114-nucleotide long non-coding RNA is filed under the name Betta splendens (Siamese fighting fish). RNAcentral describes it as "lncRNA (ENSBSLG00000008718.1)". The record is from RNAcentral. Lineage: Eukaryota; Metazoa; Chordata; Actinopteri; Anabantiformes; Osphronemidae.
AUGCCCCCGCGCCCAGAGUGGGGCCCGCCCCCAGUCCACCACCCCCACAUGGGCGGAGCGGGGCCUACCCCAUCGGCCCGACCUCAUCCCCUGGCGCUACAGCGGCCUGCAGCACAAGGCCAGCAAUUGGUGGGGUCGGGCCGAUGGGGUAGGCCCCGCUCCGCCCGUGUGGGGGUGGUGGGCUGGGGGCGGGCCCCACUCUGGGCGCGGGGGCAUCUUCUGGCGGGCUCCCUACGGACCGUGGGUCCUCGGGCUCUACUCUUUGUGGCCGACCCUCCCGCCGGGGGGAGUGUUUGCCCCUGGUUCUCAUGGGGCGGACAGCGUUGACCCCCGGUGGCCCACUCUGGCCUCGGGUGCUGUCUCUGUGGCUGCUGCAGCUCUGCCUGGGGGGCUCUGUGUGGGCGGCUUGGGUCGCAACACCUGCCCUCCUGGAACUGAAGGUGUGUGGGCUCCCUGGCUGCUAGGAUUCCUUCCUCUGCUUGCUGGAUGGGCGUAGUGGCGGAGCCCCUCACAUCACCCUGGCUUCCACAAGUGGCAUUGUUCAUGCACCAACGUCUGCCUCACCCUUUGGGUGAAUAAUGAUAAGCUACAGCCUUACUAACCUUGUAGUGGGACACUUUCCAAAUCCAACUGUAAGUAUUAUUGAUACUUAUCACUACCGAUAUGAAUAAUGUGUGAAUAUGGAAUUUGUGGUGUUGUAUGUCAUGACUUUUAUUAAGUAGUAUGGGAUAUGUAUAAUAAUGCACAUAUGUAUGUAUAUUGUAUGUAUAUGUUUGUAUUAGUAUGUGCACAUACCUUAGCACUAUUAUUGGUAUUAGUAUUAAUCUCCAAGGUAAACCACAGUACAAAAAUUGUUUAGUUAUGAAUGUGUUAGCCUAAGGUACAUCCAUGCUUCUUAUUUAUUUAUUUUUUUGCUCCGAUUGUUUACUUAACAGAUUUGCUUGGUUUCAGCAGCUGGUUGCACCCCUUAUCCCCCCUCCCCCCCACCCUCCGGCAUACACACCCUAAAGCAGAAACCUAACCUGUCCACCAACACAGCAACAUCACACACAUUUUGGAUUAGCUAAAUGAACCAUUAAAUAAAAAAAAAAAAAAAAAAAAAAAAAAAAAAAAA